GCCGCCUCGACUGUCACUGGCUAAGGCUGCGGCGACCGACGCACAGCAAAGGCAGCAGAGCUGGAGCGCCUGCAAGAGAAAAGAGUACAGUCCCCAGACCAGCAGGCUUCCCAUCACCUGCAGCACCUCAGCUCCAGCCUCGGACCUGAAUCACGUCCUGCACUAAUCAAGAACCUGCAUGAGACCAAGGCCCCCAGGUGGUGGUACACACAUGAACGUUUCAGAAGGGCUGCUGUAGAGUCAAACAGCCCACAGGGAAACACCCUGCCCCUGCCCACCUGUGAAUGGCCGAAGAAAAGAAGAAAUUAACACAUCCCCUCCCCUAGGAUGGCCAAAACCAGGAGAUAUUUUGCAAGACUUAUGGCCUUUUUACUUCCUCACCUCCUCCCCCUCUCUGUUCUAUAAAAGAAACUGGCAUCCAGACCCCGAUAAGAUGGUACUCUAGGACAUUAGUCUGCCAUCGUCUCAGAUGCCCAGCGUUCCGAAUAAAGUCUCUAUUCCUUGCCUCAA
Long non-coding RNA from Balaenoptera acutorostrata (minke whale), 510 nucleotides. RefSeq lists it as uncharacterized. The transcript has 3 exons. NCBI's taxonomy places the organism in Eukaryota, Metazoa, Chordata, Mammalia, Artiodactyla, Balaenopteridae. The record is from RefSeq and is a predicted model, not a curated record.